Long non-coding RNA from Corvus hawaiiensis (hawaiian crow), 2503 nucleotides. RefSeq lists it as uncharacterized. Lineage: Eukaryota; Metazoa; Chordata; Aves; Passeriformes; Corvidae. The transcript has 6 exons. The record is from RefSeq and is a predicted model, not a curated record.
CUCUUCCAUGUACUAACAAACCACCUCUGAUGGAGACCCCACAGCAAAGGAACCAAGAGCAGCAAUUCCAUAUCCUGUCCCAUAUGAAGGGCAUGAUUUCUACCAAAGAGUGCAGGGCUGGCAUAUUUCUGUCAGACUUCUUAUACAUUUCUCUCAUUUGGAUGUAGCGUGGCAAACAAGAAAGGCUUAUAUGCCAGAAGCUUGCGCAGAUGUUCCCAUGGCUUACAGGAAAGAAGAGAAUAACCCAGUGUCAGCUAAAGAAGGAUCCCUGCACAAGUUUACUUCCAGGGUGGCUGGGUGGUCAGAGACCUUCACUGAACUGACAGAUUCUGAAGUGUCCCUGAUGGCUGAAUGCCUGAAGACUCUGGAAGGAAACCCUGGGAUAAGGAAACCCUUACUGUCAUCAUCUGCCCAAAAUGUGACAGAAGGAGCCAGCGCUUGAGGACAUCUCCUGGAGUCCAUUUGGCAUCACAGGAUAGGAGAUCCUUCUAUUGGACAUACAGUGAUCUGUCACAAUAUGGAGCAGCUGUCUAUGGACUUCACUGUGUCAAAGACACGCCCAGUGACCCCUGUUCAAUUCAUGGAGGACCAUUGGAAGAACUUUCUCUGCUACAGGCAAACAUUCGGCACUUUUCAUUUGCAAAUAUCAAGGUUUGGGAUUCAUUGCUGAACUCUGCCCCAAACGCUGGCCAUGGGCCCACUGGCUCCAAACCAGUUCUCUACAUAGAAGGGUAUGCUCCUGGCUCCUUCACAGUGAAGAACUCUGUUUGGAUUGCCUGCAUCCACCAUUAAAACUUGGGUUCACCAGACAGCACCAGCAACCCCAGCACCUCUGGUCACUUUUUCCUUUGUGGCAAUUUUUCGUUCGAUACCGAUUGUGAAAUCUGAAUUUCCAGGAAAUCUUGUUCAUCUUAAAUGAGGAAUUAACAAUAGUGUGUAAGAACUUUCUCAGAAAACAGACUUUGAUAUGUUUUUAAUUUGUAUUUUGCUAAAUUCACAUAAAACAGUGUAUUAAGUUUCAUAUGAGUUAGCAAUAAUCAUACGAUGUUUCUCCUUUGUAAGAGUUUUCAUUUAGAGUGGUCAAUCUUGUUGAGGGGAAGAAAACUUUGAAGUAGUCAUAAGAAGUAGUAAUUGAAAAUACCUUUAAAAUUUAGGGGGCAGUGAUAAAACUGAGUUUAAUCUAAAAAGAAUCUCAUAUGUUUGCCUCAAAUGAAGCUUGAACUCCAUGUGGAUGAAUUUGAAUCGUUCAUUUAGGCAGUAUGGUUUAAAAGCUGCUAGAGAGAUGCAGCUGUAGGUGAUUGAUAGAUAAUUGUAAUUAUAAACAGGUCUGUCACCUCUGUAGUCACUCAUUUUGGAAUGGAUUUGGUCUAGUUCAAAAUGAAUUUUGUAUUUUCUUCUCACAUAGAUGUUUAGAGCCGGAUCAUUAUCAAAAGCUAAAACUUUGGUUUAGAACUUUAACUUCAAAGGUGACUUCCAUGACAAGAAUGUGCAAGAUGCACUAUUAGAGUAAUUGGAAUAUUUCCAAAGGCAGUAAUCUUUUUAUCUUGCAGAGAGUGGAAUGGGAUUCUGUGUCAAUAUUGAUGGAAUAUUGGUAAGUUUGUUUCAAUCAUUGUGAGGUUCCUUGUGCUAUAAGAACAGUUCCUCUUUCAAAACUAUAUAGAAAGUGUAAGGAUCACAGUUUACUCUUAUCUGAGGAUGUUAGGAUGCUGUGUUUCAUUUUGCUGUUUAAUUGCCUUUGGGCACAUACACUGCAUUGGAAAAUGCUACUGUAGAUAUCAUUUGUGUUCCUCUUCUACUGCUGGGUCUGAGUUACAAUAAAAUGUAAGCGGCAACUUUUGGAUUUGAGGGAUUGGAUUUACUUCUUCUCUAUAGUUACUUGUGUAACAGUAUAGAAUGAUUGUUAAAUGUAACAGUUUUAACUCUGUACAUACAGAGAAUCAGUAAGUGGGAGUAUUAGCAGGUAUUGGUAGAGAACUGAAGGAAUAGACAAAACUUAGUGUGAGUAGAGUCUGUAACAAUUUCCACUGCCUGACACUUGGUCCUAGGAACUAAAGAUCAAAAAAACUACCUGGAAUUAAAGGCUCGUGCUUAAGAGUCAGGAAGAGGCAGGAGAUUGGUCACUUUUUAGAUGGAUAUUAGCACACUUUAGCUAUGGGUAACAGGCAGACAGUAGUAUUAACAUCCAGUAUUGAAGAUCCUGUGAUGUGGUUAAAUAUUGCUCGGGUUUUUUCUUUGAGCUCAGGUUUGCUUAUCUACCUCCACCUUGACUGAUGGAAUGAAGAUGAUAGAUAAGCUUGAUUUAGUCUCUGCUGUUAGUUCCUGAUGAAACAGACAUUUUGGCUUAACAUAAAUUUCUUUCUGAGGGCUGUGUGAAACCUUAUUCCUACUGACUUGCCAAGAAGUCCACGGCAACGCACAGGAAAGGCAAAUCAACUUUGGACUUUUUAGAAUGCAACAAGUGAUCUUCAUUAACACGGCUGCUUUUCAGGCUGCAAUCUGCAGU